Small nuclear RNA from Rattus norvegicus (Norway rat), 173 nucleotides. Ensembl annotates it as U2 spliceosomal RNA. The record is from Ensembl. NCBI's taxonomy places the organism in Eukaryota, Metazoa, Chordata, Mammalia, Rodentia, Muridae.
AUCGCUUCUCGGCCUUUUGGCUAAGAUCAAGUGUAGAAUCAUGGCUUACAUCUAAUCUCCUAUUUUUGUCCAGGGAGUAAGAAUAAUGUAAGAAACCUUUGAUUGAGUUAGAAAUUCAUACAAGGUGAUCCUGCAUAUCUUAUUAAGUAUAGGUGUAGAUUUUGAAAUUCCUA